This 484-nucleotide ribosomal RNA is filed under the name uncultured bacterium. Its description in RNAcentral is "partial 16S ribosomal RNA". It matches the Rfam family "Bacterial small subunit ribosomal RNA", at positions 29 to 507 of the family's 1533-position model. The record is from RNAcentral.
AUUGAACGCUGGCGGCAUGCUUUACACAUGCAAGUCGAACGGCAGCGCGGGUUCCGGCCUUGCCGCGAGUGGCGAACGGGAGUGUAAUACAUCGGAACGUGCCCAGUAGGGGGGGAAAGCACGGCGAACGCUGGAAUAAUACCACAUACGCUGUGGGGGAAAAAGGGGGGGAUCUCCGGACUUUGUGGCAUUGGGCCGCUCGAUGGCAGAUUAGCUAGUUGGUGGGGUAAAGGCCUACCAAGGCGACGAUCUGUAGCUGGUCUGAGAGGACGACCAGCCACACUGGGACUGAGACACGGCCCAGACUCCUACGGGAGGCAGCAGUGGGGAAUUUUGGACAAUGGGCGAAAGCCUGAUCCAGCAAUGCCGCGUGUGUGAUGAAGGCCUUCGGGUUGUAAAGCACUUUUGGCGGGAACGAAAAGGACUGGGCCAAUACCACGGUUCGAUGACGGUACCCGAAGAAUAAGCACCGGCUAACUACGUG